CGGGGGGUAGGGAGGUUCCUUAGCCUGGAUUUCCAGAGGGCGCAGGCCAGGCCGAGGGACUCCACUGGUGCACA
Molecule: microRNA precursor, 74 nt
Filed under: Myotis brandtii (Brandt's bat)
Lineage: Eukaryota; Metazoa; Chordata; Mammalia; Chiroptera; Vespertilionidae
Description: mir-9193 microRNA precursor family
Rfam family: mir-9193 microRNA precursor family
Source: Rfam by way of RNAcentral